This 690-nucleotide long non-coding RNA is filed under the name Monodelphis domestica (gray short-tailed opossum). Its description in RNAcentral is "lncRNA (ENSMODG00000047752.1)". The record is from RNAcentral. Lineage: Eukaryota; Metazoa; Chordata; Mammalia; Didelphimorphia; Didelphidae.
GAGUCUGUGAGUUAUAAAUGAUGAUAUUUUGCAGCUGGGUAGAUGUGCAAGGUGAAUAAGAGUGAGGAUUUGAGGAUGACAGAGAGGCUGAAAACCUAGUUAACUGGAAGGUUGUUGAUAUCCAUUAACAGUUUACAGAUAUUUGUGAAGGUUGGGAUUUUGGGGAAAUAGAAUUAGUGCAAUUUUAGAUAUGGUUAAUGUAAAUAGAGUGACCACAUGGUUAAAAUAAGCAUUAAUCUUUUUCUAUACAGAGGAUAGAUUGGAAUAGAGACUUGAAAGGAGAGAGACUUGGAUUAGGAGGAUUAAUUUGCUAGCUGUUGACAAUAGCUGAAGAAAUGAGGUACAGAAAUAAGCAUUUACAAAGUACCCACCCUGUGCCAAGCUGUAUGAAUACAGAAACAAAAGCAAAAUAGUACUGAUCUCAGGACCUGACAGUAUCCUAAAGAAAAAUGAUUUGGACAUGUAAGUAAAUUUGGAAUCUACAAGGAACAAAUAAGAUAAGUUUUUUUUUUGUUUGGAGGUUUUUUUUUUUUUUUGCUCUUGGGGAAAGAUGCUGGGUAUUAAAAUUUUAAAAAUUAAAAUGCUAUUUAUUUUUUUCUUAUCAACAAGUAAUUAUUGAGCCAAGUAUACUCCUAAGUGAUGGGGAUACCAAAUAAUGAAUAAACAUUUCUUGCCUUUAGGGAGUAUACA